RNAcentral lists this ribosomal RNA (526 nucleotides) under uncultured bacterium. Its description in RNAcentral is "bacterial SSU rRNA". It matches the Rfam family "Bacterial small subunit ribosomal RNA", at positions 777 to 1297 of the family's 1533-position model. The record is from RNAcentral.
AAUAGAUACCCGGUAGUCCUGGCCGUAAACGAUGUCGACUAGAUCGUGGUUGCUCUGACGUAAUCACGGUCGAAGCAAAAGUGCUAAGUCGACCGCCUGGGAAGUACGGUCGCAAGGCUAAAACUCAAAGGAAUUGACGGGGGCUCACACAAGCGGUGGAGCAUGUGGUUCAAUUCGAAGCAACGCGCAGAACCUUACCUGGGCUUGACAUGCUAGGAUUAUCCCUAUGAAAGUAGGGUAGGCCCUUCGGGGUACAACUAGUACAGGUGCUGCAUGGCUGUCGUCAGCUCGUGUCGUGAGAUGUCGGGUUAAGUCCCUUAACGAGCGAAACCUUUGCCCUUAGUUACCAUCGGGUUAUGCCGGGGACUCUAAGGGGACUGCCGGUGUCAAACCGGAGGAAGGUGGAGAUGACGUCAAGUCCUCAUGGCCUUUAUGCCCAGGGCCACACACGUGCUACAAUGGCGUCCACAAAGCGAACCGAGAGCGCAAGCUGGAGGAAAUCGCACAAAUGACGCCCCAGUUCAGA